RNAcentral lists this ribosomal RNA (473 nucleotides) under uncultured Clostridia bacterium. RNAcentral's name for it is "partial 16S ribosomal RNA". The record is from RNAcentral. Lineage: Bacteria; Bacillati; Bacillota; Clostridia.
CACGUAGUUUGCCGGGGCUUUCUUACGAGGUACCGUCAUUCUUCGUCCCUCGCGACAGAAGUUUACAAUCCGAAAACCUUCAUCCUUCACGCGGCGUUGCUGGGUCAGAGUUUCCUCCAUUGCCCAAUAUUCCCCACUGCUGCCUCCCGUAGGAGUUUGGACCGUUUCUCAGUUCCAAUGUGGCCGAUCACCCUCUCAGGUCGGCUACCCAUCGUCGCCUCGGUAGGCCGUUACCCUACCAACUAGCUAAUGGGACGCGAGCCCAUCUUUAUCCGUAUAUGCUUUUACCCCUGUCGGAUGCCCGACUGUGGUCUUAUGCGGUAUUAGCACCUAUUUCUAAGUGUUAUCCCCCUGAUAAAGGCAGGUUGCUCACGCGUUACUCACCCGUCCGCCGCUAACGUAUUGCUACGUCCGCUCGACUUGCAUGUGUUAAGCACGCCGCCAGCGUUCGUCCUGAGCCAGGAUCAAACUCU